CCUACGUGUGGCAGCAGUGGGGAAUAUUGCACAAUGGGGGAAACCCUGAUGCAGCGACGCCGCGUGAUUGAAGAAGUAUUUCGGUAUGUAAAGCUCUAUCAGCCGGGAAGAAAAUGACGGUACCUGAGUAAGAAGCCCCGGCUAACUACGUGCCAGCAGCCGCGGUAAUACGUAGGGGGCAAGCGUUAUCCGGAUUUACUGGGUGUAAAGGGAGCGUAGACGGCAGUGCAAGUCUGGAGUGAAAGCCGGGGGCUUAACCCCCGAACUGCUUUGGAAACUGUGCGGCUGGAGUGCAGGAGAGGUAAGCGGAAUUCCUAGUGUAGCGGUGAAAUGCGUAGAUAUUAGGAGGAACACCAGUGGCGAAGGCGGCUUACUGGACUGUAACUGACGUUGAGGCUCGAAAGCGUGGGGAGCAAACAGGAUUAGAUACCCGGGUAGUC
RNAcentral lists this ribosomal RNA (440 nucleotides) under uncultured bacterium. Its description in RNAcentral is "partial 16S ribosomal RNA". It matches the Rfam family "Bacterial small subunit ribosomal RNA", at positions 338 to 795 of the family's 1533-position model. The record is from RNAcentral.